This 489-nucleotide ribosomal RNA is filed under the name uncultured bacterium. RNAcentral describes it as "partial 16S ribosomal RNA". It matches the Rfam family "Bacterial small subunit ribosomal RNA", at positions 30 to 507 of the family's 1533-position model. The record is from RNAcentral.
AUUGAACGCUGGCGGCAGGCCUAACACAUGCAAGUCGAACGGUAACAGGAAGAAGCUUGCUUCUUUGCUGACGAGUGGCGGACGGGUGAGUAAUGUCUGGGAAACUGCCUGAUGGAGGGGGAUAACUACUGGAAACGGUAGCUAAUACCGCAUAACGUCGCAAGACCAAAGAGGGGGACCUUCGGGCCUCUUGCGAUCGGAUGUGCCCAGAUGGGAUUAGCUAGUAGGUGGGGUAACGGCUCACCUAGGCGACGAUCCCUAGCUGGUCUGAGAGGAUGACCAGCCACACUGGAACUGAGACACGGUCCAGACUCCUACGGGAGGCAGCAGUGGGGAAUAUUGCACAAUGGGCGCAAGCCUGAUGCAGCCAUGCCGCGUGUAUGAAGAAGGCCUUCGGGUUGUAAAGUACUUUCAGCGGGGAGGAAGGGAGUAAAGUUAAUACCUUUACUCAUUGACGUACCCGCAGAAGAAGCACCGGCUAACUCCGUG